Paramormyrops kingsleyae is the source of this 1111-nucleotide non-coding RNA. The record is from RefSeq and is a predicted model, not a curated record. Lineage: Eukaryota; Metazoa; Chordata; Actinopteri; Osteoglossiformes; Mormyridae.
ACACAUCCACAAUCUUAUUACUAGCUGUCAGGGAAAAAAUGCAAAUAAAACAAAAUCAAUAAUGCUACACCCAAAUUCAGGAGAGCACAAUAAACAUUUACUACUGUUCUGUUCAAGCUUGAAGGAAGAAUGCGUUCUCCUGGGGAAAAAAUGUUUGUGUCAAAUGGCUCUUAAAAUAUAUACAAUCAAUAAUGACAUGCAUAACAAAAAAAAAAACACAAACAAAUCCCAAGAGAAGAAAUUAAAUCCAUUUAAGUGGUAUCUACAAAUCUUGCCUAUGAUAAAAAUAGCAAAAAGUUCACAAGUGCAAGUUGCCAUAUUAUACACCGUUUUCUAAAUUCUUGUGCUAAGUAAAUUCUUUGUUGUGUGAUCUGCUCCUCGCCACAUUUGUUGCUGCUAUUGUCAGGAAACUUGAAAGCAAGUUUAAAAAAGUCAAAUACAACAACAAAAGCAUUUGAAUACUCACCUUUUACUACAGAGCCUUCAGAACAAUGCUUAAAGCAAAUGAAAUGUCAACCCAAGAACAAAAAAGCAAAACAAGAUUUUUCAAAUUAUUUUAUUAUAGUCAUUUUUCCUUUUCCCCUUAUUUUAUCAUGGAUAAUAUGGACGGAGCUGGGCACCCCCCACUGAAAAAAGCUACAGUAAAUUAAUGCCAUGAGCAACAUUAAUGGAAACCAAAAUUAAUUGGCGACACAUGGGACAACGAACUAUGAACUUGAAAUGCAAACACGACUUCAGCAAUCUACGCAACGCUUUGUUUUUCAGUGCGCAGCACGCAGAAACCGUGUAUUUCCAGGAAACCAUAGUAGCUCGACAAAAUUGUAAUCAGCCCAGGGGAUUCAGUCGGCCUAAUUAUUAACUGCAUAAUUUUUAAUGCUGGCGACCAACAACUACCGAACUUGCGUUCUAUAAGUGUCCACACUAUAAAACACACACGAUAUGCAGACAAAUAUUAAUAAUAAAAAUUAUAUUCACAGGAAUGAGCCUAACUAAUACAUGCGAAAGAAAGCUUCUCAGACCAACAUUUAUUCGUCCAACCGCCAACAGUCACACUCGCUGAUCCAACGCGUUUGGAAAAAAAAGGCGGGCUUGUAGGUAUGUGAGAGGACAG